Molecule: non-coding RNA, 357 nt
Organism: Mus musculus (house mouse)
Lineage: Eukaryota; Metazoa; Chordata; Mammalia; Rodentia; Muridae
Source: the annotation of a RefSeq genome assembly
AUGGGCUUCAAGAUGGAGUCUCAUACUCAGGCCUUUGUAUUCGCGUUUCUCUGGUUGUCUGGUGUUGAUGGAGACAUUGUGAUGACCCAGUCUCAAAAAUUCAUGUCCACAUCAGUAGGAGACAGGGUCAGCAUCACCUGCAAGGCCAGUCAGAAUGUGGGUACUGCUGUAGCCUGGUAUCAACAGAAACCAGGACAAUCUCCUAAACUACUGAUUUACUCGGCAUCCAAUCGGUACACUGGAGUCCCUGAUCGCUUCACAGGCAGUGGAUCUGGGACAGAUUUCACUCUCACCAUCAGCAAUAUGCAGUCUGAAGACCUGGCAGAUUAUUUCUGCCAGCAAUAUAGCAGCUAUCCU